UGGGGAAUCUUGCACAAUGGGGGCAACCCUGAUGCAGCGACGCCGCGUGAGCGAUGAAGCCCUUCGGGGCGUAAAGCACUUUCGACCGGAACGAUAAUGACGGUACCGGGAGAAGAAGCUGCGGCUAACUACGUGCCAGCAGCCGCGGUAAUACGUAGGCAGCAAGCGUUGUUCGGAGUUACUGGGCGUAAAGAGUGCGUAGGCGGUUUUCUAAGUUCGGUGUGAAAUCUCCCGGCUUAACUGGGAGGGUGCGCCGAAGACUGGGAAGCUGGAGUGUGGGAAAGGCAGGCGGAAUUCCUGGUGUAGCGGUGAAAUGCGUAGAUAUCAGGAGGAACACCUGCGGUGCAGACGGCUUUCUGGACCAUCACUGACGCUGAGGCACGAAAGCGUGGGUA
This 395-nucleotide ribosomal RNA is filed under the name uncultured bacterium. Its description in RNAcentral is "bacterial SSU rRNA". It matches the Rfam family "Bacterial small subunit ribosomal RNA", at positions 355 to 767 of the family's 1533-position model. The record is from RNAcentral.